AUUGAACGCUGGCGGCAGGCCUAACACAUGCAAGUCGAGCGGAUGAAGGGGGCUUGCUCCUGGAUUCAGCGGCGGACGGGUGAGUAAUGCCUAGGAAUCUGCCUGGUAGUGGGGGAUAACGUCCGGAAACGGGCGCUGAUACCGCAUACGUCCUGAGGGAGAAAGUGGGGGAUCUUCGGACCUCACGCUAUCAGAUGAGCCUAGGUCGGAUUAGCUAGUUGGUGGGGUAAAGGCCUACCAAGGCGACGAUCCGUAACUGGUCUGAGAGGAUGAUCAGUCACACUGGAACUGAGACACGGUCCAGACUCCUACGGGAGGCAGCAGUGGGGAAUAUUGGACAAUGGGCGAAAGCCUGAUCCAGCCAUGCCGCGUGUGUGAAGAAGGUCUUCGGAUUGUAAAGCACUUUAAGUUGGGAGGAAGGGCAGUAAGUUAAUACCUUGCUGUUUUGACGUUACCAACAGAAUAAGCACCGGCUAACUUCGUG
RNAcentral lists this ribosomal RNA (484 nucleotides) under uncultured bacterium. RNAcentral describes it as "partial 16S ribosomal RNA". It matches the Rfam family "Bacterial small subunit ribosomal RNA", at positions 30 to 507 of the family's 1533-position model. The record is from RNAcentral.